UACGGAGGGUGCAAGCGUUAUCCGGAUUCACUGGGUUUAAAGGGUGCGUAGGUGGGCUAGUAAGUCCGUGGUGAAAUCCCUGAGCUUAACUUGGGAACUGCCAUUGAUACUAUUAGUCUUGAAUAUCGUGGAGGUAAGCGGAAUAUGUCAUGUAGCGGUGAAAUGCUUAGAUAUGACAUAGAACACCAAUUGCGAAGGCAGCUUGCUACACGGUCAUUGACACUGAGGCACGAAAGCGUGGGGAGCAAACAGG
This 253-nucleotide ribosomal RNA is filed under the name uncultured bacterium. RNAcentral's name for it is "partial 16S ribosomal RNA". It matches the Rfam family "Bacterial small subunit ribosomal RNA", at positions 524 to 776 of the family's 1533-position model. The record is from RNAcentral. RNAcentral also lists the same sequence under 1 other name.